RNAcentral lists this ribosomal RNA (393 nucleotides) under uncultured bacterium. RNAcentral describes it as "bacterial SSU rRNA". It matches the Rfam family "Bacterial small subunit ribosomal RNA", at positions 96 to 524 of the family's 1533-position model. The record is from RNAcentral.
UGGCGGACGGGUGAGUAACACGUGGGAACGCGCCCUUCGGUUCGGGAUAACUCAGGGAAACUUGGGCUAAUACCGGAUACGCCCUUACGGGGAAAGAUUUAUCGCCGAAAGAUCGGCCCGCGUCUGAUUAGCUAGUUGGUGAGGUAAUGGCUCACCAAGGCGACGAUCAGUAGCUGGUCUGAGAGGAUGAUCAGCCACAUUGGGACUGAGACACGGCCCAAACUCCUACGGGAGGCAGCAGUAGGGAAUUUUCCACAAUGGGCGAAAGCCUGAUGGAGCAACACCGCGUGCAGGAUGAAGGCCUUCGGGUUGUAAACUGCUUUUAUAUGUGACGAUUAUGACGGUAGCAUAUGAAUAAGGAUCGGCUAACUCCGUGCCAGCAGCCGCGGUAAU